RNAcentral lists this ribosomal RNA (429 nucleotides) under Verrucomicrobiota bacterium. RNAcentral's name for it is "Verrucomicrobia bacterium partial 16S ribosomal RNA". It matches the Rfam family "Bacterial small subunit ribosomal RNA", at positions 355 to 776 of the family's 1533-position model. Lineage: Bacteria; Pseudomonadati; Verrucomicrobiota. The record is from RNAcentral.
UAGGGAAUCUUCCGCAAUGGACGCAAGUCUGACGGAGCAACGCCGCGUGAGUGAAGAAGGUUUUCGGAUCGUAAAACUCUGUUGUAAGAGAAGAACAAAUUGUAGAGUAACUGCUACAGUCUUGACGGUAUCUUACCAGAAAGCCACGGCUAACUACGUGCCAGCAGCCGCGGUAAUACGUAGGUGGCAAGUGUUGUCCGGAUUUAUUGGGCGUAAAGGGGGCGCAGGCUGCUUCUUAAGUCUGAUGUGAAAGCCCACGGCUUAACCGUGGAAGUGCAUUGGAAACUGGGAAGCUUGAGUACAGAAGAGGAAAGUGGAACUCCAUGUGUAGCGGUGGAAUGCGUAGAUAUAUGGAAGAACACCAGUGGCGAAAGCGACUUUCUGGUCUGUCACUGACGCUGAGGCCCGAAAGCGUGGGUAGCAAACAGG